This is a small nuclear RNA of Prolemur simus (greater bamboo lemur), 115 nucleotides long. Its record names the gene U5. It matches the Rfam family "U5 spliceosomal RNA". Rfam says of the family: U5 RNA is a component of both types of known spliceosome. The precise function of this molecule is unknown, though it is known that the 5' loop is required for splice site selection and p220 binding, and that both the 3' stem-loop and the Sm site are important for Sm protein binding and cap methylation. The record is from Ensembl. Lineage: Eukaryota; Metazoa; Chordata; Mammalia; Primates; Lemuridae.
AUACUCUGGUUUCUCUUCAGAAGGUAUAAAUCUUUCACCUUUUACUAAAGAUUUCCAUGGAGAGGAACAAUUCUGAGUCUUACCCCAAUUUUUUGAGGCCUCGCAUCUGCAGGAA